AUUGAACGCUGGCGGCAGGCCUAACACAUGCAAGUCGAGCGGAUGAAGGGAGCUUGCUCCUGGAUUCAGCGUCGGACGGGUGAGUAAUGCCUAUGAAUCUGCCUCGUAUUGGUGUAUAACGUCCUGAAACGGGUGCUAAUACCGCAUACUUCCUGAGGGAGCAACUUGGUGAUCUUCGGACCUCACGCUCUCAGAUGAGCCUAGGUCGGAUUAGCUAGUUGGUGGGGUAAAGGCCUACCAAGGCGACGAUCCGUAACUGGUCUGAGAGAAUGAUAAGUCACACGAGAGCGGAGACACGGACAAGACGACUGAGGGAGGCAGCAGUGGGGAAUAUUGGACAAUGGGCGAAAGCAUGAUACAGCCAGGCCGAGUGUGUGAAGAAGGUCUUCGGAGUGUAAAGAACUUUAAGGUGGGAGGAAGGGCAGUAAGUUAAGACCUUGCUGGAGUGACGUUAACAACAGAAUAAGCACCGGCUAACUUCGUG
Molecule: ribosomal RNA, 484 nt
Filed under: uncultured bacterium
Lineage: Bacteria
Description: partial 16S ribosomal RNA
Rfam family: Bacterial small subunit ribosomal RNA
Source: RNAcentral